UUUAUGCAGUCUAAGUAGCUGCUUGGCAAACUCAGGCUCUAGAAACCAGCAAAGGUUUCCAAUAUCAGAGAAAUAGCUAAUCGAUUGCCAGCCAGGAAUCACGACCGUGGCCUUGUCACCUACUUGCUGCCAGAACCUCUCGUACAUGGUCGGAUCCCCACUGCAUGAAGCAGGUUAGUAUUAACUUUUUUUCUAAAAAAAGAAAUUGAGAAAAAUUGGGACCUUAAUAAAUAUGAUUUGGGAAAUCAAAUCAGCAUGCUAACAUAUUUUAUUUGUAUAGGAAAAAGAAAUCACAAGAUUUUUAUGUUGUUUCAGGAUCUGUAGCCAGAUUAACCAAGUGGAUUCAGAUGAGGACUCUCCCUGGAAAAUUACCCACAAGCACACAGCAAGCAAGCAGGUAAAGUUUCUGAAAAACUGCAUAUAGUGUGGGGUGGUAGGUAAGGGAAGGCCGAAGGCAGAAUUGGUAGGACCCUCUCAAAAUGAUCAGAUGAUGUGUAUAUGCAUGGAAUAUAGAUAUAAUGUGUGUGUUGCUGGCUUGGCUAGCUACUGACCCAUUAAGCAAAAAUCCAGUUAUAACUGGCACAUAUCUCUAUAGGACCCACAAAGUGCUUGACCCACAAAAGCCCACUUUCCAUAUAACCUAAAACAGGUCAUUAAGCCUAAAAGGAGUCUAUUCUUUAGAUCUUCCCAAAGGCCAAAAGAAGGAGGGGCUCAACAUAUGGCCCCCACGAACAUGCAUCUCCUUCUUCUUCUUCUGAAACUGAACCUAUAGUGCCUUGUGCUAACAUACACCUUGGGCUCCUCCAAAUUGCAAAUAGCUAAAUAAAUCAUUCAACUGUUAGAAGUCUUUAUCAGGAGUUAAAAGGUCCACAAUAGCACCACAACUUAGGUAAAUAAUGAUGGUGCGUGUUCUUUCUUUUAUCAAAAUUAUAAAAAUAAUCAUGAUGAUGGUGCUGGUCAAACUGGCACCAUAGUGCAAUGUUGGCACUUCCAUCACUCGGUCAACCUUCAACUUGGGAGCAGAGAUAUGACAUAAACAGUCAUCAGGUAAAAAAAAAAAAAUUGCAAUUCACCUCACAUUAUUUUAACUUAGAUCCCAUAAUUAAAUUAUAUUUUAAUUUGGAUCUAGCGAUUGAAUUGUAUAUACAGGCAUCUAUUUUUGACAAAAAAAAAAAUCCCCUUGACCAAGCCUCAACACAUCAGCAUGAAAAAUCUAAAACACAAAUAUAUCAGUGAUCCUGUGACCUGUCAUUGUCUACCCUGGCUAAACACUACAGCUUAGCAAGCACAGAGGUAAGCAUGCCCCAGCUCUCUCCUUUUUUUUAUAAAAGCUAGAUGUAGCCCUCAGCCCAUGCUGUACAGAAUAGUAAUAAAUAAAUCAAGGGAAAAAAAUUAUUGGGAAAUUACCCUUGAUAAUGAUAUUUCAUUUUUGCCCCCCCUGGCUUGAAAAUUUGUCUAAGGACAAAGGAAAUGUUAAUUUUGCUGAAACAACACCAACUUCAAGAACCAAAGCCACAUAAUCACAGGCUAAUGAUAAAUAGUACACAGAAAUGUCAAAAAAGAAAUUAUCAAGCGACAAGGAAUAAAGAAGUUUAGAAAAACCAAAAAAGAAAAAUGAUUUGUUUGCACUUACUGGUCUAGAUUGAUCACUCUGUGUCUGUCCUCGCCAGGGAAAGUCGUCGGAGAAGAUGACGAGGUGGUAGACACAGACAGAUGUGCCCUCUGCGUAGACAGUGCCUCUCUCCGGGCACCGUCACCCCCAAUCAGUUGCUCUCUCUUUAUGUCAAAGGUCUGAUACCCCAGCCUCAAAAUGAAGCUC
Molecule: long non-coding RNA, 1819 nt
Filed under: Manihot esculenta (cassava)
Lineage: Eukaryota; Viridiplantae; Streptophyta; Magnoliopsida; Malpighiales; Euphorbiaceae
Description: long non-coding RNA (MESC_LNC008330)
Source: RNAcentral